UACCAUGCAGUCGAGCGGAUGACAGGAGCUUGCUCCUGAAUUCAGCGGCGGACGGGUGAGUAAUGCCUAGGAAUCUGCCUGGUAGUGGGGGACAACGUUUCGAAAGGAACGCUAAUACCGCAUACGUCCUACGGGAGAAAGCAGGGGACCUUCGGGCCUUGCGCUAUCAGAUGAGCCUAGGUCGGAUUAGCUAGUUGGUGAGGUAAUGGCUCACCAAGGCGACGAUCCGUAACUGGUCUGAGAGGAUGAUCAGUCACACUGGAACUGAGACACGGUCCAGACUCCUACGGGAGGCAGCAGUGGGGAAUAUUGGACAAUGGGCGAAAGCCUGAUCCAGCCAUGCCGCGUGUGUGAAGAAGGUCUUCGGAUUGUAAAGCACUUUAAGUUGGGAGGAAGGGCAUUAACCUAAUACGUUAGUGUUUUGACGUUACCGACAGAAUAAGCACCGGCUAACUCUGUGCCAGCAGCCG
This 470-nucleotide ribosomal RNA is filed under the name Pseudomonas sp. SB12-05. RNAcentral describes it as "bacterial SSU rRNA". It matches the Rfam family "Bacterial small subunit ribosomal RNA", at positions 52 to 517 of the family's 1533-position model. Lineage: Bacteria; Pseudomonadati; Pseudomonadota; Gammaproteobacteria; Pseudomonadales; Pseudomonadaceae. The record is from RNAcentral.